GGGGGGGGCAAGCGUUGUUCGGAAUUACUGGGCGUAAAGGGCGCGUAGGCGGUUCGCUAAGUUGGAUGUGAAAACUCUGGGCUCAACCCAGAGCCUGCAUCCAAAACUGGCGGGCUAGAGUUCUGGAGGGGGUAGCGGAAUUCCUGGUGUAGCGGUGAAAUGCGUAGAUAUCAGGAGGAACACCGGUGGCGAAGGCGGCUACCUGGACAGAAACUGACGCUGAGGCGCGAAAGCUAGGGGAGCAAACAGGAUUAGAUACCCUGGUAGUCCUAGCCCUAAACGAUGGAUACUUGGUGUGACGGGGAUUGAAUCCCGUCGUGCCGAAGCUAACGCAUUAAGUAUCCCGCCUGGGGAGUACGGUCGCAAGGCUGAA
RNAcentral lists this ribosomal RNA (373 nucleotides) under uncultured bacterium. RNAcentral describes it as "bacterial SSU rRNA". It matches the Rfam family "Bacterial small subunit ribosomal RNA", at positions 527 to 898 of the family's 1533-position model. The record is from RNAcentral.